AGCGAACGUUUGCGGCGGGCCUAACACAUGCAAGUCGAACGCACUAGCAAUAGUGAGUGGCGCACGGGUGCGUAACACGUGGGUAAUCAACCCUUCAGCUUGGGAUAACGACUUGAAAGGGUCGCUAAUACCGGAUACGGCGAGAGAGGCUUCGGCAUUUCUCGAGAAAGCCUCGCAAGGGGCACUGAAGGACGAGCCUGCGGCCCAUCAGCUAGUUGGUGAGGUAAGAGCUCACCAAGGCGAAGACGGGUAGCUGGUCUGAGAGGAUGAUCAGCCACACUGGAACUGAGACACGGUCCAGACUCCUACGGGAGGCAGCAGUGGGGAAUAUUGCGCAAUGGGCGAAAGCCUGACGCAGCCACGCCGCGUGAGCGAUGAAGGCCUUCGGGUCGUAAAGGCUCUGUGGGGAGAGACGAAGAAAGCCCGUGAAGAGCGGGCCUUGACGGUAUCUCCUUAGCAAGCACCGGCUAACUCCGUGCCAGCAGCCGCGGUAA
RNAcentral lists this ribosomal RNA (494 nucleotides) under uncultured bacterium. RNAcentral describes it as "bacterial SSU rRNA". It matches the Rfam family "Bacterial small subunit ribosomal RNA", at positions 29 to 523 of the family's 1533-position model. The record is from RNAcentral.